RNAcentral lists this ribosomal RNA (694 nucleotides) under uncultured Bacteroidales bacterium. Its description in RNAcentral is "bacterial SSU rRNA". It matches the Rfam family "Bacterial small subunit ribosomal RNA", at positions 32 to 715 of the family's 1533-position model. Lineage: Bacteria; Pseudomonadati; Bacteroidota; Bacteroidia; Bacteroidales. The record is from RNAcentral.
AACGCUAGCUACAGGCUUAACACAUGCAAGUCGAGGGGAAACGACAGUAAAGCUUGCUUUAUUGGGCGUCGACCGGCGCACGGGUGCGUAACGCGUAUCCAACCUGCCCCCAACUCCGGAAUAGUCCCCCGAAAGGGGGGUUAACCCCGGAUGCUGCAAUUUUUCCGCAUGGUGGAAUUGCGAAAUGAAAAAGGUUGGGGCUGGGGAUGCGUCCCAUCAGGUAGUAGGCGGGGUAAUGGCCCACCUAGCCGACGAUGGGUAGGGGUUCUGAGAGGAAGGUCCCCCACAUUGGAACUGAGACACGGUCCAAACUCCUACGGGAGGCAGCAGUGAGGAAUAUUGGUCAAUGGGCGAGAGCCUGAACCAGCCAAGUAGCGUGUGGGACGAAUGCCCUAUGGGUUGUAAACCACUUUUGCAGGAGGGUAAAAUGCUUCACGUGUGGAGUAUUGCAAGUAUCCUGCGAAUAAGGACCGGCUAANUUCCGUGCCAGCAGCCGCGGUAAUACGGAAGGUCCGGGCGUUAUCCGGAUUUAUUGGGUUUAAAGGGAGCGUAGGCGGGGAGUCAAGUCAGUUGUGAAAAGCCGCGGCCCAACCGUGGUCGUGCAGUCGAAACUGGUUCUCUUGAGUGCGCACGAGGACGGUGGAAUUCGUGGUGUAGCGGUGAAAUGCUUAGAUAUCACGAAGAACUCCGAUUG